AUAUUUAUUACAUAAACUUCGUAUAAUCUGGAAGAUAUGGUUCUGGAGUCUCUACCCUGUCACCGUAAAUGGCAGGACUAUGAUAGGAUGCUU
RNAcentral lists this non-coding RNA (93 nucleotides) under pig gut metagenome. Its description in RNAcentral is "Purine riboswitch". It matches the Rfam family "Purine riboswitch aptamer". Rfam says of the family: Riboswitches are metabolite binding domains within certain messenger RNAs that serve as precision sensors for their corresponding targets. The record is from RNAcentral. RNAcentral also lists the same sequence under 1 other name.